Molecule: ribosomal RNA, 413 nt
Filed under: uncultured bacterium
Lineage: Bacteria
Description: bacterial SSU rRNA
Rfam family: Bacterial small subunit ribosomal RNA
Source: RNAcentral
GUGUCAGCCGCCGCGGUAAUACGUAGGUGGCAAGCGUUGUCCGGAAUUAUUGGGCGUAAAGGGCGCGUAGGCGGAUAUUUAAGUCUGUCGUAAAAAUGCGGGGCUCAACCCCGUAGUGUCGAUGGAAACUGGAUAUCUUGAGAGCAGGAGAGGAAAGUAGAAUUCCCAGUGUAGCGGUGAAAUGCGUAGAUAUUGGGAGGAAUACCAGUGGCGAAGGCGGCUUUCUGGACUGUUUCUGACGCUGAGGCGCGAAAGCUAGGGGAGCGAACGGGAUUAGAUACCCCGGUAGUCCUAGCCGUAAACGAUGGGUACUAGGUGUAGGAGGUAUCGACCCCUUCUGUGCCGGAGUUAACGCAAUAAGUACCCCGCCUGGGGAGUACGGCCGCAAGGUUGAAACUUAAAUGAAUUGGCGG